GCCCUUAGGCGGUCGCCCACAGACUGUAAUUUUUUGACUCCUUCUGGAGUCUUGCUUCUAUUUCUUUAUUAGGCAUUUUAAUUCUUGAGUCGAAAAAAAUGCUUAUUAUUGCUUUUUAGUUCGCAAAGUAAAUAAUAGGAAAAAAUUCAGCUCAAGCAAAAUGCCUAAUAACGAGAUAGAGGCAAGACUCCAAACGAAUCCAAAAAAAAUUGCAGUCUGUUGGCGACCGCCUAAGGGU
RNAcentral lists this microRNA precursor (238 nucleotides) under Trypanosoma congolense IL3000. Lineage: Eukaryota; Euglenozoa; Kinetoplastea; Trypanosomatida; Trypanosomatidae. The record is from RNAcentral.